GACGAACUGUCCUACCGUUGUUCGGAAUCACUGGGCUUAAAGGGCGCGUAGGCGGUCCGACAAGUCAGGGGUGAAAUCCUGCAGCUUAACUGCAGAAGUGCCUUUGAUACUGUCGGUCUUGAGGGAGAUAGGGGUGUGCGGAACUCACAGUGGAGCGGUGAAAUGCGUUGAUAUUGUGAGGAACGCCGGAGGCGAAAGCGGCGCACUGGAUCUCUUCUGACGCUGAGGCGCGAAAGCUAGGGGAGCGAACGGG
This 253-nucleotide ribosomal RNA is filed under the name uncultured bacterium. RNAcentral's name for it is "partial 16S ribosomal RNA". It matches the Rfam family "Bacterial small subunit ribosomal RNA", at positions 524 to 776 of the family's 1533-position model. The record is from RNAcentral.